RNAcentral lists this ribosomal RNA (256 nucleotides) under uncultured bacterium. RNAcentral describes it as "partial 16S ribosomal RNA". It matches the Rfam family "Bacterial small subunit ribosomal RNA", at positions 524 to 777 of the family's 1533-position model. The record is from RNAcentral.
UACAGAGGGUGCAAGCGUUAAUCGGAUUUACUGGGCGUAAAGCGCGCGUAGGCGGCUAAUUAAGUCAAAUGUGAAAUCCCCGAGCUUAACUUGGGAAUUGCAUUCGAUACUGGUUAGCUAGAGUGUGGGAGAGGAUGGUAGAAUUCCAGGUGUAGCGGUGAAAAUGCGUAGAGAUCUGGAGGAAUACCGAUGGCGAAGGCAGCCAUCUGGCCUAACACUGACGCUGAGGUGCGAAAGCAUGGGGGAGCAAACAGGG